This is a long non-coding RNA of Panicum virgatum (switchgrass), 638 nucleotides long. RefSeq lists it as uncharacterized. NCBI's taxonomy places the organism in Eukaryota, Viridiplantae, Streptophyta, Magnoliopsida, Poales, Poaceae. The record is from RefSeq and is a predicted model, not a curated record. The transcript has 2 exons.
ACACGUGACACUCCCUGGUGCUGCCACAUGUCGCGCUGUGUGUUUUUGUUUUUCCGAAAACCUUUAUUUAAUUCCAGAAAUUGUUUUAAGCUUCAGAAAAUCAUAAUAAAUCAACCGGAGCUCUGAAAAUUAUGAAACCAGUUUCAUAAUUCUUCUAAAAUCAUGAUCUACGCAUUAGAGUAGGUUUUGUUAUGAGUUGGAUCUUAUUUGAGUAGUUUUGUGCAUUUUUGCACUUUGGCCCCUAUAGUAAUCUGUAAUUAUGAUUAGGUCCUGCUGCUGAAGAGAAGACCGACGACCAGGACUACCAGGAGGCCCAGGAGUUCUACGAGGAGCACUCAGUUUGGCAAGAUGCAGGAUCCGAUCAGGAGUUCGACGCCAACACCGACGGAUGGUACGAUUGAAGACUUAGAAGCUCGUGCUACGCUCAAGUGCUGCCUGUCGAGUUGAAGUUCGAGAUGAAGGAUGGCCUGAAGACCAGCUACCGCUUCUGUUUUCUGUUUGUUCCAUUUAACCCAAUGGGCUUGUAAUAAAUUCGUACUGCAGAUCCUACGGAUCUUGUAAUAAUUAAAUCCAUGUUUGAACCUGUUUUAAGUGAGUAUGAACUGAUUUACUGCCUGAAAUGAGUUCUGUAUGUGAUA